Molecule: transfer RNA, 69 nt
Filed under: Ogmocotyle ailuri
Lineage: Eukaryota; Metazoa; Platyhelminthes; Trematoda; Plagiorchiida; Notocotylidae
Description: tRNA-Thr
Source: RNAcentral
GAAGAAAUAGUUUAUACUUAAGAAUGCUGUUUUUGUAAAACAGUGAUAUUCGGAGACGGAUUUUUUUCA